This 1778-nucleotide long non-coding RNA is filed under the name Malus domestica (apple). RNAcentral's name for it is "long non-coding RNA (MDOM_LNC003696)". The record is from RNAcentral. Lineage: Eukaryota; Viridiplantae; Streptophyta; Magnoliopsida; Rosales; Rosaceae.
GAGUUAUAAGGUAAACACAUAAAUUCAGAGCAUAGGUUUAAGUGCAGUCAAGUAGGACCAAAAUAGAAGUACAACACCUACAGGUGGGUCCUACAUGUAGAGCGUCUGUCAGAAUGCCGGAAAAAGACAUCGAGAGCCACCAACUGCUAACUAGAACCUGGAGGGGCGCAAAACAAAGAUGAGUGGGUCAGUAAAAUCAAAGAUUUUCCAAAACAUUUCAUUUAAAACAUUUCUAACCCCUCACCGUAAAACCUGUAUACUUUCCCAGAAAAAUAGUAUAUAAACAUAUAUAUACACAUAUCAUCAAAACUCAUAUCCAUCAACAUAACAUCUCAGAAAUAAUAUGCCACGCCAUGCCAAAUAUAAUAAAAAAUGCAUCAAUAUCAAUCAGGUGAAAUAAUAAAUCAACCGGAGACCCUACAAUGGUCCUGUACGGCUGAUUCUAAAGCUCAACAUCCCACUCAGCCGGAGUCAACACAGUGACCUAUACGGCCCUGCCGGAGUCACCAACUGUGACCUGUACGACAUUACACUGCACAUCACUCGGAACUACGUAUAGUAGUCUGUACGAUGAAAGGUGUAUAAAUACACUCUAGUGUUUCUCUCAUCAAUCAUCAGCGCGCAUAACUAAGGUCACCCACUAGUCGGAAUCACAUCUAGUGAUCUAUACAACUAGCAUGUCGGAACCCUUACAUGGUCUGUACGACAUCCACCUACUUGGAUCCAAGGCGAGCGUGCGGUGUGGUGAAUAAUAAUAUAAGCACUAACACCUAGGGUGCAGGUUAUGAGCUUUCAAUGCAAUUCUCAUAAAAUAACUCAUCUGAAUAAUAUAAAAACUCACCUGUGCAUCCACCGUGUCAAUUAACAUAUAUAUGCAUCAAUUAUCAAACUAAAUAUCUCAACAUUUGCAUGCAUGGCAAUUUAAAUCAUAAUUUUCAUAUAAACGCAUUUUCUGGGAAAACAGUUGUAUAUAGGUUAUACGAAAACAAAACUGCCCACUCACUGAUAAGUCGAUGGGUCGUAACCCCCGUGACGUCCCUGGAUGCGCUCGUCCUCGGGAUAGGUGUCACCUAUAUGCGAAACAACUAUAAAAACGUUAAUUUAAACACAUAACCAACAAUUCGAAAUAACUUCUCAUACGAUGCUCAAUUUGGGUAUAUGAAUACAUCACAUCGACCUACUCGACGUCACGGACGUCGAGAAAUUUUUAAAUAAAUUUUUUGGUGUCGCACGCGCCCCCACGUGCCAGGGAACGCACGGAUACACGCGCCCUCCACGCGCGUCAUCUUCCCCAGCCAGUCGCCGGACUGGUUUUUCCGGUAGCCGAAUUCCGGCGAGUUUUAAAACUUCUUGUUCUCCUUCGUUUCUCAACCAUUUUCUUCGUAUUUUAUACCAAAAUGAAGGCCCAAACAUGUAUAAUCACGAUACACUAUUUUUAAACUCCAAAAACAACUAAAUCUCAACGGAAAAAUCCAAGCAAAACCGGCCAAACUCAACCCUUGUGAUCCCGACGUCCAAAUCCUUCAAACGAAGCACUCCGAGCUUCCUUGGGACCUCACUAAGCUCACUAUAAGCUUAGAAUUCCCCGAAACACAACAUUUCACGUGUGCAUGAACAGUGACCAAAAAUGGGGGAUUCGGGUUCACGUGAAAUCGAAGGUUCCACGUCCUAAAACUAGCACCAAUCAACUCAAAACAUCAUGAGGAUGAAGAUUCAUACCUUGGUUGCUUCGAUCCACUGAGUUUUGGGGGAUUUUGGGUGUGAGCCGUACGUUUUGG